GGCAUAUCGCCCCGGUAUUAUGAUCCUCCUGAUGGUUUCAAGUUUGAAAUAAAUGAUGUUUCACCACCUAUUCAGGAUGAUACUCUUAUGUUUGACUAUAAUGUUCAAGAGCGAGUGAAUGACUUUGUUGCUGCCGCUUUAGCUCAGGCUCUAGUGUAGCCAUUUCUUCUGUGUACAGGUCAGAAGAAAGUAUAGAAAACACUAUAGAAGUUGGACAAGGAAGUUUGAAGCUAAUUUAUUCAGCUCGUGAUGGAAAGCUUUCACACUAUGCUAACAACAGAAAUUUGAUUACAGCAUCUGCAGAACAGUCAUACAUUUAUUACAGUGGAAACGAUGGAACUGAUAAAGAUCCACGGG
Molecule: long non-coding RNA, 357 nt
Organism: Humulus lupulus (European hop)
Lineage: Eukaryota; Viridiplantae; Streptophyta; Magnoliopsida; Rosales; Cannabaceae
Exons: 4
Source: RefSeq, a predicted model, not a curated record